AUGGAAAGAAGAUACAGGAAGCACACCUGUGGGCUCUGGAAUUCCAUGCACUUGUGCCACUGCACCCCACCCGAAGGCUUGGACACAGUCCUGUGUUCAUCGGGCAACUGUGCUGGGGGCACCAUGAUGGCCCAGUGUCUGCUGCUGCUCUCGAUAUGCCAACAGCCCACCAUGGAUCUGCUCCAGUAAACAUUUGCUGACUGA
Molecule: non-coding RNA, 204 nt
Organism: Macaca mulatta (Rhesus monkey)
Lineage: Eukaryota; Metazoa; Chordata; Mammalia; Primates; Cercopithecidae
Source: RefSeq, a predicted model, not a curated record